Molecule: transfer RNA, 64 nt
Filed under: Aethina tumida (small hive beetle)
Lineage: Eukaryota; Metazoa; Arthropoda; Insecta; Coleoptera; Nitidulidae
Description: tRNA-Glu
Rfam family: tRNA
About the family: Transfer RNA (tRNA) molecules are approximately 80 nucleotides in length. Their secondary structure includes four short double-helical elements and three loops (D, anti-codon, and T loops). Further hydrogen bonds mediate the characteristic L-shaped molecular structure. tRNAs have two regions of fundamental functional importance: the anti-codon, which is responsible for specific mRNA codon recognition, and the 3' end, to which the tRNAs corresponding amino acid is attached (by aminoacyl-tRNA synthetases). tRNAs cope with the degeneracy of the genetic code in two manners: having more than one tRNA (with a specific anti-codon) for a particular amino acid; and 'wobble' base-pairing, i.e. permitting non-standard base-pairing at the 3rd anti-codon position.
Source: RNAcentral
AUUUAUAUAGUUUAAUAAAAACAUUACAUUUUCAUUGUAAAAUUAGAAGUUUUUCUUAUAAAUA